UCGUCAUGUGGUAUAUUGAGAAGUUUUUACGUGUCACCAUCAGAUUGGCCAUCAAUGCCAUGUCAGCAUAAACUAACAAUGUUAGUGCGAAUGUAUUAACUUGGGUGAUGGAAUACAAGUUCAAGUAUCAACUAGGUACAAAAAAAAAGUUUAGGUACCAAAUAGGUUAAAAAAAAUUCAUGUACCAAUUAAGUACUUUUGGGCAAGUUCAAUGGGCAAACUACAUAUUAAUCCUUGUUAUGUAAUUUCUUAAUUUAAUUUUAGCUUCUUAAAUGUCUAAC
Molecule: long non-coding RNA, 281 nt
Filed under: Gossypium raimondii (Peruvian cotton)
Lineage: Eukaryota; Viridiplantae; Streptophyta; Magnoliopsida; Malvales; Malvaceae
Description: long non-coding RNA (GRAI_LNC002546)
Source: RNAcentral